UACAAGGGUGCUGAUAAAAAUCGGCUGAGAUAAGAAUGUGAUUCUUGACCUUUUAACCUGAUCUGGGUAAUGCCAGCGUAGGAAGGAACAUAUAUUA
RNAcentral lists this non-coding RNA (97 nucleotides) under Peptostreptococcus russellii. RNAcentral's name for it is "TPP riboswitch (THI element)". The stretch from base 3 to 85 matches the Rfam family "TPP riboswitch aptamer (THI element)", at positions 10 to 89 of the family's 105-position model. From Rfam's summary of the family: Vitamin B(1) in its active form thiamin pyrophosphate (TPP) is an essential coenzyme that is synthesised by coupling of pyrimidine and thiazole moieties in bacteria. The record is from RNAcentral. Lineage: Bacteria; Bacillati; Bacillota; Clostridia; Peptostreptococcales; Peptostreptococcaceae.